This 451-nucleotide ribosomal RNA is filed under the name uncultured bacterium. Its description in RNAcentral is "partial 16S ribosomal RNA". It matches the Rfam family "Bacterial small subunit ribosomal RNA", at positions 354 to 796 of the family's 1533-position model. The record is from RNAcentral.
GUGGGGAAUAUUGCGCAAUGGGGGAAACCCUGACGCAGCGACGCCGUGUGAGGGAAGAAGGCUUUCGGGUCGUAAACCUCUGUCAGAAAGGAAGAACCUCCCAAGUCCGAAUAGGGCUUGGGACUGACGGUACUUUCAGAGGAAGCACCGGCUAACUCCGUGCCAGCAGCCGCGGUAAUACGGAGGGUGCAAGCGUUAAUCGGAAUCACUGGGCGUAAAGCGCGCGUAGGCCGCUUUGUAAGUCGGACGUGAAAGCCCUCGGCUCAACCGGGGAACUGCGUUCGAUACUGCGAGGCUUGAGUCCUGGAGAGGGUGGCGGAAUUCCGGGUGUAGGAGUGAAAUCCGUAGAUAUCCGGAGGAACACCGGUGGCGAAGGCGGCCACCUGGACAGGUACUGACGCUGAGGCGCGAAAGCGUGGGGAGCAAACAGGAUUAGAAACCCCAGUAGUCC